Molecule: non-coding RNA, 387 nt
Organism: Pelobates cultripes (western spadefoot toad)
Lineage: Eukaryota; Metazoa; Chordata; Amphibia; Anura; Pelobatidae
Source: the annotation of a GenBank genome assembly
CAGGUAUCUACUACCCUUUCUAUAUCACUGUUACUGCUCCCACUGGAAGGUUAUUCCAGGUAUCUACUACCCUUUCUAUAUCACUGUUACUGCUCCCACUGGAAGGCUAUUCCAGGUAUCUACUACCCUUUCUAUAUCACUGUUACUGCUCCCACUGGAAGGUUAUUCCAGGUAUCUACUACCCUUUCUAUAUCACUGUUACUGCUCCCACUGGAAGGCUAUUCCAGGUAUCUACUACCCUUUCUAUAUCACUGUUACUGCUCCCACUGGAAGGCUAUUCCAGGUAUCUACUACCCUUUCUAUGUCACUGUUACUGCUCCCACUGGAAGGCUAUUCCAGGUAUCUACUACCCUUUCUAUAUCACUGUUACUGCUCCCACUGGAAGGC